Molecule: ribosomal RNA, 429 nt
Filed under: Acidobacteriota bacterium
Lineage: Bacteria; Pseudomonadati; Acidobacteriota
Description: Acidobacteria bacterium partial 16S ribosomal RNA
Rfam family: Bacterial small subunit ribosomal RNA
Source: RNAcentral
UGGGGAAUUUUGGACAAUGGGGGAAACCCUGAUCCAGCCAUCCCGCGUGUGCGAUGAAGGCCUUCGGGUUGUAAAGCACUUUUGGCAGGAAAGAAACGUCAUGGGUUAAUACCCCGUGAAACUGACGGUACCUGCAGAAUAAGCACCGGCUAACUACGUGCCAGCAGCCGCGGUAAUACGUAGGGUGCAAGCGUUAAUCGGAAUUACUGGGCGUAAAGCGUGCGCAGGCGGUUCGGAAAGACAGAUGUGAAAUCCCAGAGCUCAACUUUGGAACUGCAUUUUUAACUACCGGGCUAGAGGGUGUCAGAGGGAGGUGGAAUUCCGCGUGUAGCAGUGAAAUGCGUAGAUAUGCGGAGGAACACCGAUGGCGAAGGUAGCCUCCUGGGAUAACACUGACGCUCAUGCACGAAAGCGUGGGGAGCAAACAGG